Long non-coding RNA from Macadamia integrifolia, 778 nucleotides. RefSeq lists it as uncharacterized. The transcript is spliced from 2 exons. Lineage: Eukaryota; Viridiplantae; Streptophyta; Magnoliopsida; Proteales; Proteaceae. The record is from RefSeq and is a predicted model, not a curated record.
UUUUUACUAAGCUGAGUUGGUGUUUUAGUGACUUGGGAGGUAAAAUUGCUAAGCUACCUAUAUAAAGGAGUUAGCAGGAAGGGACGCCGUGAAAGCAUAUCCAAAGCACCACGUACUAAGCUGGUGAAGAUGAGAAGACCAGGAGGCAAGGGCUGCUCAAUGGCCUCCCUCAUUAUUACCACUCUUCUAGUGGUAAUGGUAUCUCUUAGCUUGCCACUGAAGACCACUGCAAACUACUUCUACAACCCUCCACCACCCCCUCAUCAUCAUCAUCAUCAUCAUCAUCAUCAUCCCCCUCUUUCUGACCUCUACAAACCACUACAACCACAUCCACCAGCAUCACCUAAGGCACCAUACAAGCCACCCUCACCUCCGCUGCCAGUCCACGCGCCACCUCCUCUUCACCACUAAUAAGAAAGGCUUGGAGACAAAAUGGGAUGAGAUUUGUUAGGAUGGUGAGAACAAAUAGAAAGGAGGGCUGGUUGCUGAUCUUCUACGUAAUAGAAGGGAAGAGAAUCCCCUGUGUGAUUCUUCUUCUUGCGAUAACAUAGUAAUAAUCAUGGAAAGGCUCCGGGGUGGAAAAGGAAGAAGGGGAGAAGAGAUGAGAGAGAGAGAGAGAGAGAGAAGCUUUAAUCACUUUCCAGGAAAAUAAUGUAAUGGAAAACAUGCUUGAGCAGCUUUAAGUCAAUUGUUAGUACCUUUUCUUCUAUUUAGUCCAAAUAUUUGUUACUGUUUUAUUUUCUGCAAUCUUAAAAUUAAUCUAUUGGGAUUGUCUAAA